Adelges cooleyi (spruce gall adelgid) is the source of this 519-nucleotide long non-coding RNA. RefSeq lists it as uncharacterized. NCBI's taxonomy places the organism in Eukaryota, Metazoa, Arthropoda, Insecta, Hemiptera, Adelgidae. The transcript is spliced from 3 exons. The record is from RefSeq and is a predicted model, not a curated record.
UGCAACAUGUUGCUUUUUACUUGUUUCCAUCUUUUGAUUAAAAGUGAAACAUGUGGCAACUAACGAUUGUUGCCUUAUCGUUAUUUCGGCUAAAAGUUUUGAUAUUUGUAAUAAAUACAACAACGUUCGAAAAUCGAUAUAAUAAUAAUAACUUGCAAUAAAGAAAUACUGGUGAAAUAACAAUUAAAAUCUAUGCAAAAUAACGUUAAAAGUGUUCCAUGGUGUAUAUGUUGCGGUACUUGAUGAAAAAUGUGUAGGCAAAAGUGUCCUCGAAACUAGCGUCCAAGAACAACGAGGCCAUUUUUUGGUUGACUUCAUACAUGUCGUACGAAUAAAUGUCUGAACAAGCUUUGGCAAACGAUAAUAUAAAAAACGAUAUGUACCAAUGUACAAUGUAAAACUGAUUUUACUUAUGCAAGACAACUUAAGAGUCGAAGGAGAUAGUAGACGUGGUAAGCAGAAUUUAACAUGUCGUUGGAUUAAGUGGAAAAAGUAGUAGAGUAAUGGUGUUUUUUAGAU